Long non-coding RNA from Bos taurus (domestic cattle), 511 nucleotides. The record is from Ensembl. Lineage: Eukaryota; Metazoa; Chordata; Mammalia; Artiodactyla; Bovidae.
AUACAGGAAUUCUCUAGGCCAGAUAAUUGGAUUAAUGUACUUGGAGAACAUCUGCAACAAGAAUGAAAGAUGGGUGAUCUUAAACAUUCUUGACGCAUUUCAGAUUUUAAAGGAAGAUAUCUUCAUUUUCACCCAUAUUAUUACUGCUGCUGCUGCUAAGUCACUUCAGUCGUGUCUGACUCUGUGCGACCCCAUAGAUGGCAGCCCACCAGGCUCCCCUAUCCCUAGGAUUCUCCAGGCAAGAACACUGGAGUGGGUUGCCAUUUCCUUCUCCAAUGCAUGAAAGUGAAAAGUGAAAGUGAAGUCGCUCAGUCAUGUCUGACUCUUAGCGACCCCAUGGACUGCAGCCCACCAGGCUCCUCCGUCCAUGGGAUUUUCCAGGCAAGAGUACUGGAGUGGGGUGUCAUUGCCUUCUCCCAUAUUAUUACUUGCUUGUAAAUAAUUUGUGUCUUAAUUUAUUAUAAAUAUUUAAGUUACAAAAGUGUUCAAGUUGCAUGUAUAUGUUAUGUUG